GACCCCUGGAAGAUGACCAGGUAGAUAGGCUGGAGGUGUAAGUGUGGUAACACAUUGAGCUGACCAGUACUAAUCGGUCGAGGGCUUAAUCUC
RNAcentral lists this ribosomal RNA (93 nucleotides) under Bacillota bacterium. RNAcentral describes it as "partial 23S ribosomal RNA". It matches the Rfam family "Bacterial large subunit ribosomal RNA", at positions 2832 to 2925 of the family's 2925-position model. The record is from RNAcentral. RNAcentral also lists the same sequence under 2 other names. Lineage: Bacteria; Bacillati; Bacillota.